This is a long non-coding RNA of Syngnathoides biaculeatus (alligator pipefish), 1020 nucleotides long. RefSeq lists it as uncharacterized. The record is from RefSeq and is a predicted model, not a curated record. The transcript is spliced from 4 exons. NCBI's taxonomy places the organism in Eukaryota, Metazoa, Chordata, Actinopteri, Syngnathiformes, Syngnathidae.
GUCGCUGCAACCCCGCAAAGAGCUGAAAUCAAAACGAGCCGGCGAAGAGUAAAAGAAUAAACGUCAUCCCACAUACAGCGUCUUCUUCUACAACGUAAUUUGCUCAAAUGCUGGGAGGAAUUCAACACUUGACCCGAGCAGGAACCGGCUUCCGUGGUACCGUAAACGUCAAUAAAGCUACUUCUGCUUCUUAAAGGACCUCGGCCUGAUGCGAAGCGUCGAGCGUGUCAAACGGACGUGAGGAAAGCCGCCAGCAGCCGGGACCCUUUAUAAGGUAGAGCCGGAACCACGCCCCCCCCCCCCCCCAGCCGUCCUGAAGCACCCCCCCCCUCCCUCUCCCUCCCCAUCUCCGCCCCUGCAGUCCAUUUCAAUACGGAAGGAGAAUCCCGAAAAAAGGCCGAUGUGGCCCCCUGGCGUGCUGUUGAUUGGCCCGGUCGGACCGGCGGCCACCCGGGCUGCGGCACGACCCCCCCCCCCCACUCCCCCAUACGCCGACGCACACUCCAAAGUUAGAUCGUGAUGUUGAAAAGGGUUGCUGGGGGUGCGGGGUGGGGUGGGGGUCUCCUGUGUGCGGCCUAUCCCGAGGUGGGGGGGCGUGAAAGUCCUUCAUUGCCGCGGCUGUCACCUCAAUGGAACCUUUAACACGUCGCUUAGCCAAAAGGGAAAAAAAAAAUUUACAAGCUUGCAAAGUUGACUGUAAACACACACACACACGCACAAAUAAUAAUAAUAAUAACAAUAAAAUGAGUCACGGGCGUGUUACUGUCAUGGUGGAGCCCGAACCACAACGUGCAUUAGAUAACAAAUGUAAAUAAAAUAAAAGAAUUGCAUGCCGUCGUCGUUUGUUCAUUUAUUUAUGGAACAUUUAAUGUACAGAUAAAACAAUAAAACAAAGAACGGUAAAAAAAAAUGAAACAAUAUCACUACAAUGUAAAAGAUAAACGUAGAAUGAAUCAAUACUUCAUUACAAGGUUUUAUGAGGGGUAUUCGACACAUUCUGGAACUCAUGUACACGUUGGA